RNAcentral lists this long non-coding RNA (3310 nucleotides) under Prunus persica (peach). RNAcentral describes it as "long non-coding RNA (PPER_LNC007764)". The record is from RNAcentral. Lineage: Eukaryota; Viridiplantae; Streptophyta; Magnoliopsida; Rosales; Rosaceae.
AACUCCAAGCCACAGAACCGUUGCCCAAAAAUAAUAUAGAAAGUAUGGAAUAUGUGAAAGUAUGAGAAUAGAGAAAUCUGAUUGUGGUAUAUGAAAUGUGAAGGAGGAGUGGCCUUUUAUAGGCAUCCAAAACUCGUAACCUCCAAACACAUUUAACCAUAAAAGUUGGUGGCAAUGAAUAGAAAAUAAAAACUGAAAAUUAAACAAUUUGUAACUCCUAUAAUAAAUAAAAGAAACCAACCAAAAAUUAAAACAGAAAAUAAAACGUUUUAAAAUUUAAAAUCCUUUCAAAUAAUAACAAUCCCCCACAAAGGGUUUUAAAAUUUUAAAAUUGUAAAAUAUAAAGAAAAUAUACAUAUGGGCAACAUAAUACUAUGCAAUAGGUGUAGGUGCCUUCCGGGCUUGAACCUUCACUUAGUGAUGAUAGUUUCCAUUUGAGGAACCUGAGUGUACACAGUAUUGAACUCGGCACCUUUGACCAAACUUCAACAUAUCCCACACAUAGUAUUGGUUGAGGCUUGGAAGCGGGGUAGCGCUAUUUAUGGCCAUGCGCUAAUCUUGAUUCUCAUGAGAGUUGCUAGAGAAUAGCCCAAUUCUCACAGUCGCGGCCUCACGACGUCUCUCACUUAGGUGAGUUCUCCAAGAGUACAUGUGACCUGCACCCUGCGGGAGAUUGCCCGCCUCGAAACUCAUUCAGGGAUAACUCCCUUCCUAACGUCACAUUAUAUAGCACUGAUGUCAUAGGGAUGAGCAUGAGGACAUCUCUGGGAUGCCUCCACAUGAAAUAAACAGUGCUCAAUGAGUCACGCAGUAUGGAUUGUUUCUACCCAUUGAACUUCCUUCAUGGGAUCGCCAAUCACAGAAGUUGGGUUACCUCCCUAGGUGACUCCCUUAUGGGCUUAAGCCCAUCCCCCUCGACAUUUCUAGGACUCUGCUCCUAGAAAGACCUUUAGUCAAUUGGUCAGCAAUGUUGUUCUCCGACUUCACAUACUCCAAAGACAUAAUGUUCUUACUUAAUAGACUCUUCAUAGAUUUAUAUCUCACAUGUAUGUGUCUGUUCAUUUUCCUAUUUGUGUGAGAUUGUUUCACCAAGUCUAUUGUAGCCUUGUAGUCACAAUGAAUAGAUAAAGCAGGCAAUGGUUUCUCCACCAGAGGCAUAUCCAUUAAUAAACUCUUAAUCCAUUCAGCCUCAGUGCAAGUAGUAUCCAAAGCUAUGAGUUCAGACUCCAUAGUACUUCUAGAAAUAAUUGUUUGCUUCUUUGAACCCCAUGAAAUUGCAGCUCCACCUAAUAAGAAAAUGUAACCACUAGUAGACUUUACUUCUUCAUUGUCAGUUAUCCAAUUUGCAUCACUAUAUCCCUCUACUACAUUUGGAAAUCCUUUAUAGCACAGUGAAUAAUCUAUUGUUCCUCUUAGGUACUUGAAUACUCUUUCCAAAGCAUUCCAAUGUUCCUUGCUUGGGUUAUGUGUAUACCUACUUAACCUUCCAACAGCAUAAGCAAUGUCUGGUCUAGUCUUAUUUGCAAUAUACAACAAAGAACCUAUCCUCUGGGAGUACUUCAGCUGAGAAAACGGUUCACCUUGAUUUUUCUUUAAAUGAACAUUGGGAUCAUAAGGUGUUGGUGUGGGCUUACACUCAAAGUAAUUGAACUUCUUCAACAUCUUCUCAAUAGUACUAGAUUGACUUAGAGAGAUUCCUUGUGUCAUCUUCUCAAUUUUCAUUCCUAAGAUUACAUGUGCUUCUCCCAUAUCUUUCAUGUCAAAAUUCCUAGAUAAGUAUGACUUCACAUCAUUCACAAUCUCUAAAUUCGUCCCAAAGAUCAAAAUGUCAUCAACAUAUAGGCACAAGAUUACGUGUUCUCCAUUAUUCUCUUUAUAGUAAACGCAUUUGUCAUGACCAUUAAACUUAAAAUCAUAAUCUAGAAUCACCUUGUCAAAUUUCUCAUGCCAUUGCUUAGGAGCUUGCUUUAAGCCAUAUAAUGAUUUAACCAACUUGCACACCUUGUGUUCUUGGCCCUUAACUAUGAAUCCUUCGGGUUGCUCCAUAUAGAUCUCUUCAUCUAAGUCUCCAUUUAGAAAUGCCGUCUUCACAUCCAUUUGAUGAAUCACUAAAUUAUGCACAGAUGCUAAAGCUAUCAAGGUCCUUAUGGUGGUAAUCCUAGAAACAGGUGAGUAAGUAUCAAAAUAAUCUAUCCCUUUCUUUUGUGUAAAACCCUUAGCUACCAAUCUCGCUUUGUACUUAUCAAUACUUCCAUCAGGUUUCAACUUUUUCCUAAACACCCACUUGCACCCUAUCGCUUUAUUUUCAGCAGGCAAAUUCAUUAACAUCCACGUGUUAUUUUGAAUUAUAGAUUGAAACUCAUCAUUUAUAGCCUCUUUCCAGAAUGGUGCAUCCACAGACAUAACGGCUUCCUUAUAAGUUGUGGGAUCUCCUUCUACUAGAAAAGUAUAGAAAUCAUCUCCAAAGUUCUUCUCAACUCUCGCUCUUUUGCUUCUUCUAAGUUCUUGAGAUUCUAAACUUUCAAUCGUAGUUGAGCUAGAAGGCUUUUCACUUAUUUGUACUUCCUUAGAAAUUCUUGUCUUGUAUGGGAAAAUAUCUUCAAAGAAUGUAGCAUCUCUUGCUUCCAUAAUUGUAUUGUUUGCAACUUCCUUUACUUCAGAGUUAAUCACCAGGAAUCUAUUGGCACUACUAUUUUUCGCAUAACCGAGGAAAACUGCGUCUAUAGUCUUAGGACCUAUUUUCUUUCUCUUUGGAUCGGGUAUGAGUACCUUAGCUAAACACCCCCACACUUUUAGGAUUCUAAGGUUAGGUGAUCUACCUUUCCAUAACUCAUAAGGAGUUAAUCUUAACUUGUUUUAUUUAUUUGUUUACUUGGCUCUUUAUUUUAUUUUACUGUUUAAUAUUUAUUUUAUAUAUUAUUUAUAUCAAAAAGUUUUGAAUAAGAAUUUUAUGAAAAGGGAAAAACCACAAUUUUUAAUAACAAUCUAAAGCCUUUGUAGCCUCCCUACGUGCAGGUAAUGACGGUCUACAAGACUCCAAGAUACGACCCCAAUACACAGGCUUAAGAUCCGCUAUGAGCACGUUCACAGUCGGAUAGAAAACUCCAAGCCACAGAACUGUUGCCCAAAAAUAAUAUAGAAAGUAUGGAAUAUGUGAAAGUAUGAGAAUAGAGAAAUCUGAUUGUGGUAUAUGAAAUGUGAAGGAGGAGUGGCCUUUUAUAGGCAUCCAAAACUCGUAACCUCCAAACACAUUUAACCAUAAAAGUUGGUGGCAAUGAAUAGAAAAUAAAAACUGAAAAUUAAACAAUUU